GAUGAAGAACGCAGCGAAAUGCGAUAAGUAAUGUGAAUUGCAGAAUUCAGUGAAUCAUCGAAUCUUUGAACGCACAUUGCGCCCCUUGGUAUUCCGAGGGGCAUGCCUGCUCGAGCGUCAUUAUAACCCCUCAAGCUCAGCUUGGUGUUGGGGCCUGCUGCACUGGCAGCCAUUAAAAUCAGUGGCGGCGCCAUCUGGCUCUAAGCGUAGUAAUUCUUCUCGCUAUGGAGUCCUGGUGGAUGCUUGCCAUCAACCCCCAAUUUUUCUAUGGUUGACCUCGGAUCAGGUAGGGAUACCCGCUGAACUUAAGCAUAUCAAUAAGCGGAGGA
RNAcentral lists this unclassified non-coding RNA (329 nucleotides) under soil metagenome. RNAcentral's name for it is "partial contains 5.8S ribosomal RNA, internal transcribed spacer 2, and large subunit ribosomal RNA". The stretch from base 1 to 120 matches the Rfam family "5.8S ribosomal RNA", at positions 35 to 154 of the family's 154-position model. The record is from RNAcentral.